GAUGGCAUUUUAUUUAUUACUUUUAAUAAUUAUUUAAACUAUAUCAUAUGCAAACUAAAAUUAUCAAAGUUUUGUUGCUAUUACAUAAAACUAAAUAUAGAUAAAGAAAAUAUGAAGUUGUAAAAGAGAAAUCGUAUAUACUAAAAUAUGUACCAUAAAUAUAAUAUAAUAUAUUAUGUGCUGAAAUAUAUGCAACCUCAAGAAGGAAUGGAAAGUUUCCAUACUGCUAAUGAUACAGAUACUAAAAAAGUAGGCUUUUAAAACAUAUAUCAUAAAAGUCAUGGGUACAAAAGCAAUGUCCAGCUAACUUUUCAAAAUUUUUGCUACAAUAACUUUUCCAUGAUAGGAAGGACCAACAAUUAAGCAGUCAAAGAAAGAUAUGACUUAAUAAAAAACUAAUAUAUAUAGGGCA
This 412-nucleotide long non-coding RNA is filed under the name Elaeis guineensis (African oil palm). RNAcentral describes it as "long non-coding RNA (EGUI_LNC049059)". Lineage: Eukaryota; Viridiplantae; Streptophyta; Magnoliopsida; Arecales; Arecaceae. The record is from RNAcentral.